RNAcentral lists this ribosomal RNA (405 nucleotides) under uncultured bacterium. Its description in RNAcentral is "bacterial SSU rRNA". It matches the Rfam family "Bacterial small subunit ribosomal RNA", at positions 354 to 776 of the family's 1533-position model. The record is from RNAcentral.
GUGGGGAAUAUUGCACAAUGGGGGAAACCCUGAUGCAGCGACGCCGCGUGUGGGAAGACGGUCCUCUGGAUUGUAAACCACUGUCCCCAGGGACGAAAAUGACGGUACCUGGGGAGGAAGCUCCGGCUAACUACGUGCCAGCAGCCGCGGUAAUACGUAGGGAGCGAGCGUUGUCCGGAAUUACUGGGUGUAAAGGGAGCGUAGGCGGGGACGCAAGUUGGGUGUAAAAGAUACCGGCUCAACUGGUAUUGGCACUCAAAACUGCGACUCUUGAGUGAAGUAGAGGCAGGCGGAAUUCCUAGUGUAGCGGUGAAAUGCGUAGAUAUUAGGAGGAACACCAGUGGCGAAGGCGGCCUGCUGGGCUUUUACUGACGCUGAGGCUCGAAAGUGUGGGGAGCAAACAGG